RNAcentral lists this ribosomal RNA (45 nucleotides) under Biscutella laevigata. Its description in RNAcentral is "partial 25S ribosomal RNA". The record is from RNAcentral. RNAcentral also lists the same sequence under 1 other name. Lineage: Eukaryota; Viridiplantae; Streptophyta; Magnoliopsida; Brassicales; Brassicaceae.
CGACCCCAGGUCAGGCGGGAUCACCCGCUGAGUUUAAGCAUAUCA